RNAcentral lists this ribosomal RNA (253 nucleotides) under uncultured bacterium. Its description in RNAcentral is "partial 16S ribosomal RNA". It matches the Rfam family "Bacterial small subunit ribosomal RNA", at positions 524 to 776 of the family's 1533-position model. The record is from RNAcentral.
UACGUAGGGGGCAAGCGUUGUCCGGAUUUAUUGGGCGUAAAGAGCGUGUAGGCGGUUUGGUAGGUCCGCUGUGAAAACUCGAGGCUCAACCUCGAGACGCCGGUGGAAACCAUCAGACUAGAGUCCGGAAGAGGAGAGUGGAAUUCCUGGUGUAGCGGUGAAAUGCGCAGAUAUCAGGAGGAACACCGGUGGCGAAGGCGGUUCUCUGGGCCUUACCUGACGCUGAGGAGCGAAAGCGUGGGGAGCGAACAGG